GCCGAAGUAGCUCAGGGGUAGAGCACUUCCUUGGUAAGGAAGAGGUCAUGGGUUCAAAUCCCAUCUUUGGCU
Molecule: transfer RNA, 72 nt
Filed under: Sphingobacterium sp.
Lineage: Bacteria; Pseudomonadati; Bacteroidota; Sphingobacteriia; Sphingobacteriales; Sphingobacteriaceae
Also listed under: 4 other names
Description: tRNA-Thr
Rfam family: tRNA
About the family: Transfer RNA (tRNA) molecules are approximately 80 nucleotides in length.
Source: RNAcentral